This 161-nucleotide small RNA is filed under the name Parasphingorhabdus marina DSM 22363. RNAcentral's name for it is "Sphingorhabdus marina DSM 22363 caulobacter sRNA CC2171". The record is from RNAcentral. Lineage: Bacteria; Pseudomonadati; Pseudomonadota; Alphaproteobacteria; Sphingomonadales; Sphingorhabdaceae.
CAACAAGCGAAAGGAGGUGGUCCGAUGUCUCAUGGUUCAGCACAGGGGUCGGAAAAAUCCGUUCGGGGGGCAAAUCUGAUCUAGGCAUCAGGCAACCCGGCAGCGGCACUUCCAACCGCUGACCCAUGUUCAGAGGUUGUCCGUCAAACGACGGGCAGCCU